RNAcentral lists this ribosomal RNA (279 nucleotides) under uncultured bacterium. RNAcentral describes it as "partial 16S ribosomal RNA". It matches the Rfam family "Bacterial small subunit ribosomal RNA", at positions 506 to 784 of the family's 1533-position model. The record is from RNAcentral.
UGCCAGCCGCCGCGGUAACACGGGGGGGGCAAGCGUUGUCCGGAAUUAUUGGGCGUAAAGAGCACGUAGGCGGAUCUUCAAGUCAAGUGUGAAAGCCCUAGGCUUAACCAAGGAAGUGCAUUCGAAACUGUCAGGCUUGAGUAUGGGAGAGGGUUGCGGAAUUCCCGGUGUAGAGGUGAAAUUCGUAGAUAUCGGGAGGAACACCAGAGGCGAAGGCGGCAACCUGGACCAAUACUGACGCUGAGGUGCGAAAGCGUGGGGAGCAAACAGGAUUAGAUA